GACCCAGGAACCCCCUCCUCCACUCCCCUUCCUCGGCUCUGUGACCUCAUCCCGCUGGAAUGUGCUCUCCGUGGAAGAGAGCAGUGAUGCGCAGAGCUCGUCCACCGCUGGCUCUCUGGGGGGCCAUAAUCACAUUCUUGCUGUUUAUACAGUGUCUGGAAGAAGAAUGGGUCACUAAUUUGGAUGAGGAAGCUGUGGCCUCUCCCUUCCCCUGUGCUGUAGCAAGCUAGAAAGACUUCUGAAUGCACUGAAAUUUGGGGCCUUUGAAAGGAGUCCCUGAAGUUCAUCCAUUGGAAUCUUCUUUGGCUUCCGCUCUGACGGCUCUAUGUGACAGCCUCCUGGCCAGUCUUCCUGUCUUUAGUGGCCGGCUAGUUUCAGAAUGGACACCCAGUUCCUCAUGGUGGCCCCCAUGGUCCUCUGCAGCCCUGGUCGCUCCAGUUACUGUGUCCUCCAGUGUCGUGAAACACAAGAGGUUUCUCCCCAUGCUUUGUCUCCUCUCCCUGUGCGCAGGCAGCUUCUCCCUCCCGUGUUGGUCAUUCCCAUUGGCCCUUCUCUGUCUGGACCCCUACCUGCCACUCCUGAGCUGGACCUCUGGCUUCCUGCUGUAUUUGAUCACAGUGAGCUGGACUCAGAGAAGGGAGAAGGACCCUUCCUGCCUGCCCGGGCCACAACCCCAACCUGUGCCGUGUGACCUGGCUCAUCCUGUGUGUGAGAAAGGGCUCCCUCCCCUUGCUCCUCACACCUGAAGGAGGUGACUGUCACCGGCCCCCAGGUACAUCACCUGCUCCUGUGUCUGCCCUCUGCCUCGGUAAUUCUCCCUCGAAGGAGCUGCCAGUUCCUGCCAGGAUCCCAGCUGCCUGAACAGCCCGGGCUGCCCGCUGUGAGCCGCUCGCUGCAAACCCUCCUGCAGGCACAGAUGCACCCUUGAUUGGACCUCCCUCCCCUGAGCCAGUCAGAUUCUGAGCGAUCCAAGCUUCACACGUUUGCAGGACUCCGGGAAGCACUGUUGAAACUGCCGUGCUCCAGGACACACAGCUUACUUAGAACCCAGCCUCUCAUGUGCCCUAGGCCUGUGUGACAGGGUCAGACCGUGUUGGUCCCUGAGGUCACGCGAAGUUGCAUGCGGCAGUGGCCUCAGCACCCUGGACAGCAGAGGGUCAGCACCUAAGAGUCCUGCUGGGGAGAAACACCUGCCCAGACAAGGGGAUGGACAGGCCACAAGGGACACAGGCCCCUGAGGAAGAAGGAGAGCUGCAGGACGACAGCCCAGUGCCCUUGAGUUCUGCCUGUGCUUUCUGUGUCCAUCUGGAAGAUGCUUCUGUAUCUUUGCAAUACGUUUCUCUCUCACUGUCACAGGCUUCUGUCCUUGACAACCAAGUGAAGCUAGAUCAGGCCCCAAAGGUUUUUCUUCUUCGUCUUCACCUGGAUCACACCUCUCCUUCUCCCAGACACCUCCACUGUGAGCCCCGGUGGGGAAGUCUUCCCAGGACCGCCAGGAUAGCAUGGGGACCCCUGCCCUGAGCUCUUCCUUCAACCUGCUCAGGUUGUGUGUAAGGGCCUGCCUCCCACCCAACUCUCAAGUGUUCUGCUGCCCCCAGGUGGUGACAUGGGCAGGAGGCCCCUUGAAACAUCUCUGGUUCAAGGUCAAAGCCCCAAGCAGCACAGGCAUUGAACUAUCACACAGUAUCCCAUCAGUAUGUACAAUUAAAGUAUUACAUAUUAACUAAAAAGAAAAACUAGGGCCGGGGAUUUAGCUCAGUGGUUCCACCGCCUGCCCUGCAAGUGCAAGGUCCCGAGUUAAAUCCGUGGUUCCAGAAAAAAAAAAGAAAGAAAAACUGAAAUGAAAUAAGCCAGGGACCUUGGGACCAAAUGUCAAGAUGAAGGGGAGAAGGAGCAAGGAGCGUUGGAGCUCAGAGAGCUGGUCCUGCCCUGUGGCACAGUAGCAGCUGCAGCUCAAGGCUCCAUGCUGGGCUGGCUGCCCUCUCUACUUGCUGCUGUGCUCGAAUGGAGUGGAAAUCUCUUGAGGGGAGGAAGCGUAUCCCUCUGCUGAGAAAGUGAGAGGCUCAUUAUUUCACUGAGAUUUCAGACGUUGUGUUCAUUUGCUAUGGCUGCUCUGAAACUACACGAACCAGGUGGCUUAACAACAGAUAUCUUGGUCUCACAGUUCGAAAGGCUACAAAUCCAAGAUCAAGAUAUCCACGGAGCUGGUUCUGUCUGGGGCUUGUUCCAUGGCGCUCGGCUAACUUCUGGCAGCUGCCUGGCAGUAGCCGUGUCCUUUGGCUCGAGACACAUCACUCUCUACCUUCCCGUUCACAUGGAGUUCUCUCUGAGUGCUCAUCGCUGUCCAGAAUCUCUCCUUUUCUUAGGACAGAACUUGCAUCCAAUUGGAGACCCACCCUAUUCCAAUGUGAUCUCAUCUGAAUGAAUGACAUUGGCAACAGCCUUGUACUGUGUGUAGCUCCGAGGGCCUGUGGGUCACGACUCCAACAUGUGAAUGUCAGGGGUACAAAUUCAGCCCAAAACAGGUGCCAAGGGCCAGGUUGCCUCAGCAGCUGGAUGGUUUGUGAGAAGGCCCGGUCUCUUUUCUGUGCAUGCAUUCAUUCCCCAAAUCUGGUUCCCUCCUCAAAUGCUAGCUUUCUAACCUAUGUUUCUAACCUAUAGCUGUUCGUGUCCUUGCAAAAUGUAUGGGUUUAUAUUUCUAAUUCAC
This 2707-nucleotide long non-coding RNA is filed under the name Heterocephalus glaber (naked mole-rat). Its description in RNAcentral is "lncRNA (ENSHGLG00000046634.1)". Lineage: Eukaryota; Metazoa; Chordata; Mammalia; Rodentia; Bathyergidae. The record is from RNAcentral.